Danio aesculapii is the source of this 202-nucleotide long non-coding RNA. RefSeq lists it as uncharacterized. The transcript has 3 exons. The record is from RefSeq and is a predicted model, not a curated record. Lineage: Eukaryota; Metazoa; Chordata; Actinopteri; Cypriniformes; Danionidae.
GAGAAGAUAAACAUUGAUAUUUCCUCUCUUUCUGCCACAAUUGCAGCAAUAGAGGAGGAGAUGAAGGCAGAAGAUGCCCUUUUCCUUCAAAACUAUGACGCUAUGAUGAAUAGAGUUUCCCAGUGCAGGCCAUUGGAUCUAGAGGACUUUUCUGAAGUUCUGAUCAAUGUGCCAAAACACCUGAGCAACCUGAACUUCACAG